UACGUAGGGUGCGAGCGUUGUUCGGAAUUACUGGGCGUAAAGGGCUCGUAGGCAGCCAACUAAGUCAGACGUGAAAUCCCUCGGCUUAACCGGGGAACUGCGUCUGAUACUGGAUGGCUUGAGUUUGGGAGAGGGAUGCGGAAUUCCAGGUGUAGCGGUGAAAUGCGCAGAUAUCAGGAGGAACACCGGUGGCGAAGGCGGUUCUCUGGGCAUGAUCUGACGCUGAGGAGCGAAAGUGUGGGGAGCGAACAGG
RNAcentral lists this ribosomal RNA (253 nucleotides) under uncultured bacterium. RNAcentral describes it as "partial 16S ribosomal RNA". It matches the Rfam family "Bacterial small subunit ribosomal RNA", at positions 524 to 776 of the family's 1533-position model. The record is from RNAcentral.